Molecule: ribosomal RNA, 305 nt
Filed under: uncultured bacterium
Lineage: Bacteria
Description: bacterial SSU rRNA
Rfam family: Bacterial small subunit ribosomal RNA
Source: RNAcentral
UAGUCCUACGGGACGCAGCAGUGGGGAAUAUUGCACAAUGGGCGAAAGCCUGAUGCAGCAACGCCGCGUGAAGGAAGUAGGCCUUCGGGUCGUAAACUUCUGUCCUUGGGGAAGAAGAACUGACGGUACCCAAGGAGGAAGCCCCGGCUAACUACGUGCCAGCAGCCGCGGUAAUACGGAGGAUGCGAGCGUUAUCCGGAUUUAUUGGGUUUAAAGGGUGCGUAGGCGGUCCGGAAAGUCAGCGGUAAAAGCCCGUGGCUCAACCCCGGCGAGCCGUUGAAACUGUCGGACUAGAGACGGCGAGA